Non-coding RNA from Podarcis lilfordi (Lilford's wall lizard), 74 nucleotides. NCBI's taxonomy places the organism in Eukaryota, Metazoa, Chordata, Lepidosauria, Squamata, Lacertidae. The record is from the annotation of a GenBank genome assembly.
GGAAGGCUAUAGCCCAGUGGUAGAGCAUCUGUUCUGGAUGCAGAAGGUCGCAGGUUCAGUCCCCAGCAUCUCCA